GAUGCAUCCAGCAAGCGUGUGUUCAAGCAGAAGCUGUGCUACACCUCGUGAGCUGCAAAGCCGCAUAAGGCACCUGGAGCUUCUAGAUCUAGUGUUUUGUGUACAAGUGAAAAGCCUUCUUGGAUAAUUAAGACUGUGUCUAAAACCACAGUUACAGUAUGCUGAUCUUAAAGAUUCUAAGGAAACUCAGGUUUAACUGACAGAGACAUCCAUCCCAGAGGACAGUUCAUGGCAUGUCUGUUUGUUCCCUGCUCUGAGUCACCUUUUGAGGAAACCAACUGCUCUCCAUUAACUGCCCAGGAAGUCUGAAAGGAGGAGCCUUCUAAAGCCAAGUCACCUGAAUAUUCUCCUCCUCUCAAAGGGCUGUUGGUUCUACAUGAGCGAAACACUGCCUCCACUGAGCUACACAGCGUUCCUCUCCGGGUACGCAGCGCAUUUGGCCCUCUGGUAAGAGCAGCACAUUGUGGUAGCAGGAUAUUUUUGAAAAGCUAAACUUGGAGGCAACAAGUGGGAUUCUGUUGCAAAUCCAUGAGGAUGUGUGAGGCCCCACAACAUUCUGCCUCCUUCCAUGGUAUCUGUACAUCUUACAGACUGAACAAAUACUCGCCUUCUCUUUCCUUCCCAUAAUCGCUUUUGACACAGGUAACAGUUAGUGUGGAGUAAAAGGAAGGGGGGUUUCAGGAGGACUUUCACACAUUGCACUGCUUUCUCCAAUCCAGACACUGCUACAGUUCUCAGGAGAUCCAAGACCUGACCUUGUGGCCUUCAACUCCUUCUGUACUUACCCAUCC
This is a non-coding RNA of Phalacrocorax carbo (great cormorant), 791 nucleotides long. NCBI's taxonomy places the organism in Eukaryota, Metazoa, Chordata, Aves, Suliformes, Phalacrocoracidae. The record is from RefSeq and is a predicted model, not a curated record.